Non-coding RNA from Perognathus longimembris pacificus (Pacific pocket mouse), 74 nucleotides. The record is from the annotation of a RefSeq genome assembly. NCBI's taxonomy places the organism in Eukaryota, Metazoa, Chordata, Mammalia, Rodentia, Heteromyidae.
CCUGAGUGUAGCUCAGUGGUAGAGCAUUUGCCUGGCAUGCAUAAGGCCCUGGGUUCAAAUCCUCAGCAUCAGGG